This 776-nucleotide ribosomal RNA is filed under the name Halomonas sp. M5M-2. Its description in RNAcentral is "bacterial SSU rRNA". It matches the Rfam family "Bacterial small subunit ribosomal RNA", at positions 62 to 831 of the family's 1533-position model. Lineage: Bacteria; Pseudomonadati; Pseudomonadota; Gammaproteobacteria; Oceanospirillales; Halomonadaceae. The record is from RNAcentral.
UCGAGCGGAAACGAUGGAGCUUGCUCCAGGCGUCGAGCGGCGGACGGGUGAGUAAUGCAUAGGAACCUGCCCGGUAGUGGGGGAUAACCUGGGGAAACCCAGGCUAAUACCGCAUACGUCCUACGGGAGAAAGCAGGGGAUCUUCGGACCUUGCGCUAUCGGAUGAGCCUAUGUCGGAUUAGCUUGUUGGUGAGGUAAUGGCUCACCAAGGCGACGAUCCGUAGCUGGUCUGAGAGGAUGAUCAGCCACAUCGGGACUGAGACACGGCCCGAACUCCUACGGGAGGCAGCAGUGGGGAAUAUUGGACAAUGGGCGAAAGCCUGAUCCAGCCAUGCCGCGUGUGUGAAGAAGGCUUUCGGGUUGUAAAGCACUUUCAGUGAGGAAGAACGCCUCGGGGCUAAUACCCCCGAGGAAAGACAUCACUCACAGAAGAAGCACCGGCUAACUCCGUGCCAGCAGCCGCGGUAAUACGGAGGGUGCAAGCGUUAAUCGGAAUUACUGGGCGUAAAGCGCGCGUAGGUGGCCUGAUAAGCCGGUUGUGAAAGCCCCGGGCUCAACCUGGGAACGGCAUCCGGAACUGUCAGGCUAGAGUGCAGGAGAGGAAGGUAGAAUUCCCGGUGUAGCGGUGAAAUGCGUAGAGAUCGGGAGGAAUACCAGUGGCGAAGGCGGCCUUCUGGACUGACACUGACACUGAGGUGCGAAAGCGUGGGUAGCAAACAGGAUUAGAUACCCUGGUAGUCCACGCCGUAAACGAUGUCGACUAGCCGUUGGGGUCC